CACUAAUGAAGGCUGAAAAAAACCACAGCUGAAAGCCUCGGACCAGCAGCAACACACUCUGAAGUAGGUCUCAGAAGACAAAAAGCUGAAAUCAACUCAUGCUUCCUGCUACACAGAAUCCACUGAGAGGAAAAGGAAACUUCACCGAAACUUCAGAAAGCUACAGAAAUGACAUCCAUUUUCACAAUCCCAGAAGGAAAGAUGCAUCUGAAGGGAAUAAAAACAGAGCAAUGGAAGAGUAUUUGUUAAAAUAAAU
This 256-nucleotide long non-coding RNA is filed under the name Homo sapiens (human). Its description in RNAcentral is "non-protein coding lnc-TMEM206-5:9". The record is from RNAcentral. Lineage: Eukaryota; Metazoa; Chordata; Mammalia; Primates; Hominidae.